This 574-nucleotide small RNA is filed under the name Pan troglodytes (chimpanzee). Its description in RNAcentral is "retained intron". Lineage: Eukaryota; Metazoa; Chordata; Mammalia; Primates; Hominidae. The record is from RNAcentral.
GAGUCCGAGCCGCCGCCGCCGCCAUGAGCUGCCCCGUCCCCGCCUGCUGCGCGCUGCUGCUAGUCCUGGGGCUCUGCCGGGCGCGUCCCCGGAACGCACUGCUGCUCCUCGCGGAUGACGGAGGCUUUGAGAGUGGCGCGUACAACAACAGCGCCGUCGCCACCCCGCACCUGGACGCCCUGGCCCGCCGCAGCCUCCUCUUCCGCAAUGCCUUCACCUCGGUCAGCAGCUGCUCUCCCAGCCGUGCCAGCCUCCUCACUGGCCUGCCCCAGCAUCAGAAUGGGAUGUACGGGCUGCACCAGGACGUGCACCACUUCAACUCCUUCGACAAGGUGCGGAGCCUGCCGCUGCUGCUCAGCCAAGCUGGUGUGCGCACAGGCAUCAUCGGGAAGAAGCAUGUGGGGCCGGAGACCGUGUACCCGUUUGACUUUGCGUACACGGAGGAGAACGGCUCCAUCCUCCAGGUGGGGCGGAACAUCACUAGAAUUAAGCUGCUCGUCCGGAAAUUCCUGCAGACUCAGGAUGACCGGUAUGAGUUGGGGCCCCUGCCCCUUCCCCUUGGCGGCCGGUCCCA